GGAGGAGCGGCCUGGCUUUGUCUGAGUCAGGCAGCCCAGCGUGUGGGAUGCCAGGCUGGAUGUGCUGGGCCUGACCAGCCGCCCGCUUUCCUCUUCUCUUGCCUCUGCCUGCCCCCUGGUGGACAGCUGGGGUAAAGCAUGGGAGUGCGCCUUUGGGGUCUCAGUGGGGCUGAAAUACGACUCCUCCCCUAGGACAGCCUGCCUUCCCCAGCCUUGUUCUCCGGCAAAGUCAAUUUCCUGGAGAAUCGAGGCUCUGCCUCAGAUGUUCGGAGCCUCCGCAGGAUGAACACCUCCAUUUCAAUUCCAGGGGCUUUGAUCAACCUGUGCCUCCCUUGAUCCCCAACUUGUGGGCACCUUCCCUUGAGCAGUGCCCCCACGAGGUACACCUUUCCCGGGAAACAAAAAUCAUUCCUUCUUUGGGUCCUGCAAGCUGUAAAGAACCAAUACAGCACUGUGCUACUGAACAUGUUGCCACUAUAGAAGCCCCUUGUGUUUUGAAGAGUACAUCUCUAUAGCCAUUCGUUUAUUCAUCAGAAACCAGCUAGAAGCCAGGCCCUGUGCUGGGCGCUGGAGACAUGGAAGAAACUGGGCUGAGGCUCCCGCCUUGAAGAGCUUGUGGCCCAGGGAAGGGACAGUUCAUCUGUCAUUGAUUGCCACGUGACAGUGUCUAUGAUGCUAAAAAGAUGCCAGUGCUGUGCUGCAGGAGCAAAGGCCGUGGAGGAAGAGGCUUUGGCUUUGUUGCGAGUCCUUGCCAGAGCCAGGCAAAGCCAGUCACCGCUUUGUUCAGAUGACUCAGUGUCUCCUUUUCCAGACUUCUUAGAGGACUUGGAAAGAAAAUGAAAUGACGUUGAACGAAAUCAAAGUAAAUUGAGUGAUCUGAAACGAUUUGAUGUCAGCAAGAAUUCCCCAUACAGCUCACAGCCCUACCCCGAGCACGCCUCCCUCUUGGGUAUGCUCUCUGCAGGCCCAAACCUUGCAGAAGCCAUUCCAUGUUUCCUGAGCAGGAAAAGACAAACUCAGACCGACAACCUUGGACUUCAAAAGACUGCACACAAGGGGAGGAAGGACUGAGAGUACCAAGGCGUGAGAAUUCAGAAUGCUGCUAUCUCAUUUAUUUUUACCAUUUAGGAAACGUUUUGAUCUGCAUUCCUUUUCCCUUCCCUGAUUUCAAAAAAUAAAAAUAAAAAUGCUUCGGUUCU
RNAcentral lists this long non-coding RNA (1199 nucleotides) under Homo sapiens (human). RNAcentral's name for it is "HSALNT0315601". The record is from RNAcentral. Lineage: Eukaryota; Metazoa; Chordata; Mammalia; Primates; Hominidae.